GAUGAACGCUGGCGGCGGGCCUAAUACAUGCAAGUCGAGCGAACAGACGAGGAGCGUGCUCCUCUGACGUUAGCGACGGACGGGUGAGUAACACGUAGCUAACCUACCUAUAAGACUGGGGUAACUUCGGGGGACCGGAUCCAAUACCGGAUAAUAUAUUGAACCGGAGGGAUCAAUAGUGAAAGAGGGUUUUGCUGACACUUAUAGAUGGAUCCGAGCCGGAUUAGCUAGUUGGUAAGGUAACGGCUUACCAAGGCAACGAUGCGUAGCCGACCUGAGAGGAUGAUCGGCCACACUGGAACUGAGACACGGUCCAGACUCCUACGGGAGGCAGCAGUAGGGAAUCUUCCGCAAUGGGCGAAAGCCUGAUGCAGCCACGCCGCGUGAGUGAUGAAGGUCUUCGGAUUGUAAAGCUCUUUUAUUAGGGAAGAACAAAUGUAUAAUUAUCUCUUCAUGUUUUGACGUUACCUACACAGUAAGCCCCGGCUAACUUCGUG
RNAcentral lists this ribosomal RNA (497 nucleotides) under uncultured bacterium. RNAcentral's name for it is "partial 16S ribosomal RNA". It matches the Rfam family "Bacterial small subunit ribosomal RNA", at positions 28 to 507 of the family's 1533-position model. The record is from RNAcentral.